UGCAGUCGAGCGAAUGAGAGGAGCUUGCUCCUCUGAUUUAGCGGCGGACGGGUGAGUAACACGUGGGUAAUCUGCCUGUAAGACGGGGAUAACUCCGGGAAACCGGGGCUAAUACCGGAUAAUAAGAGAAGAAGCAUUUCUUCUUUUUGAAAGUCGGUUUCGGCUGACACUUACAGAUGAGCCCGCGGCGCAUUAGCUAGUUGGUGAGGUAACGGCUCACCAAGGCGACGAUGCGUAGCCGACCUGAGAGGGUGAUCGGCCACACUGGGACUGAGACACGGCCCAGACUCCUACGGGAGGCAGCAGUAGGGAAUCUUCGGCAAUGGGCGAAAGCCUGACCGAGCAACGCCGCGUGAGCGAUGAAGGCCUUCGGGUCGUAAAGCUCUGUUGUUAGAGAAGAACAAGUACGAGAGUAACUGCUCGUACCUUGACGGUACCUAACCAGAAAGCCACGGCUAACUACGUGCCAGCAGCCGCGGUAAUACGUAGGUGGCAAGCGUUAUCCGGAAUUAUUGGGCGUAAAGCGCGCGCAGGCGGUCUCUUAAGUCUGAUGUGAAAGCCCACGGCUCAACCGUGGAGGGUCAUUGGAAACUGGGAGACUUGAGUGCAGGAGAGAAAAGUGGAAUUCCACGUGUAGCGGUGAAAUGCGUAGAGAUGUGGAGGAACACCAGUGGCGAAGGCGGCUUUUUGGCCUGUAACUGACGCUGAGGCGCGAAAGCGUGGGGAGCAAACAGGAUUAGAUACCCUGGUAGUCCACGCCGUAAACGAUGAGUGCUAGGUGUUGGGGGGUUCCACCCUCAGUGCUGAAGUUAACACAUUAAGCACUCCGCCUGGGGAGUACGACCGCAAGGUUGAAACUCAAAGGAAUUGACGGGGGGCCCGCACAAGCAGUGGAGCAUGUGGUUUAUUUCGAAGCAACGC
RNAcentral lists this ribosomal RNA (921 nucleotides) under Bacillus sp. 37(2013). Its description in RNAcentral is "bacterial SSU rRNA". It matches the Rfam family "Bacterial small subunit ribosomal RNA", at positions 56 to 962 of the family's 1533-position model. Lineage: Bacteria; Bacillati; Bacillota; Bacilli; Caryophanales; Bacillaceae. The record is from RNAcentral.